AUGGAGUACCUUCAACGUCUGCUCGGGGCUCUGCAACAGGCAGUGAGUUUUGCUUCCUCCUUCACCACCUACCUCCUUGGAGAUGAUCCUCAUCCAGGAGCAGAAGAUUCAAGAGAUGCGAGGGAGAGAAGGCAUGAAGGCAGCUGUCCUGACUGUGAAGUUGAGACAACACGCAACGGCACAGAUAUUUCUCCAAGGGAACAUCUGGAGAUCUUUGAAGGUCCACUUACCACAAAGGAGAUCCCACCUGACUUGGAGAUCCAAGUAACACCAGAAGCAGCUGUCCAUGGAACUCAAUCUACCGAGUCCAUUCUUGAACUUGCCAAAUUGUCCUCCAGAUAUGAGGGAUGGGAAGAGUCAAAGGAGAAGCCCUCAGAGACAUGCCGGAUCCCAGCUGAUGCCCAAGAAGAAAUGGUCACAACAACAGUGACUGGCAACGUCAAAGAGACAGACCUGAAGGGGUCAGCCCUGACUCAGGGGAUCCAUCCAUGGGAUGCAGGAAGAACUAUCUGGGCAGAUGCACCUGAGAAAGAAGUACAAGCAGAGGUGGCAGAUACAAAGUGGGAACUAGCUGGACCAUUGGCUGGAGGCAAACAUCAUGGAGAACUGAGUGAGGAAGGAGGGACCAAUGUGGGUCAGGAAAGAGAGCUGAAGGAAAAUUUGUGGAAUGAGGAGGUUUGGAAAGAGACCUCAAACUUGGCACAGUUUUUAGGGGAACAGGAGAGAGAGCGAGGGAAGACAGAACAGCCUGGAAGAUUUCAUCAUGAGGAGGUAGGCAAAAUGAUGGAAGAUCAGCACUUGAAAUCUGAGAAAUACCAGGAAGAAGAAAUCAUUAAAGAGCAGCCUGACAUGGUGGUAGUGAAAGAAGACAUUCAGCAGGCCAUGCUGGAUAAUGUAGGGACUCUGGGAGACCAGGAGGAGGCACUAGAAGAGGAAAAGGAGACAGGGAGAAGUCAUCAGUGGGAGGCAAAAGAAAAACCAGAAAUAGGAGAGGCUAGCAAAGUGGAGGAAAGAGAAGUAGAGAAAGCAGUGUGCAACAAGGGGGGUCAGGAGGGAGCAGUAGAUUGGGUCCCAUUUGUAGAGCAAUGUCAUGGAGGGGCAGAGAAGGCAGUAUGGCUGGAGGGCGUUCAGCAUGAGGUGCUGGAAGUAGCAGACGAAAUGGUGGGGAGCCAAGAAUUAGAGUCAAAGAUGGAAGAAAAAGAACUAGUAGAGGCUACAAAGGGCCAGCAGGAGGAAUUAGAUAUGUUGGCAAUGAAAGAAGGAAGUGAGCAAGCAAUGCCAGGCAGAGCAGAGAUUCCAGAGGCGUUGGAGGGUGAAGGCAAGCCAUGGCAAAGGAGCCAUCAGCGGAAGACCGGCAGGGAAUUAGAAGAAGUAGGAGAGACCAGCAGAUGGAAGAGACAGCUGGAGGGCACUUCGUGGAAGGAAGGGGUUCAGGAAGAGGCAGCAGUUCGGGCACAGUUUACAGAAGAACUGCAUGGAAGUCUACAGAAGGCAGCAUGGACAGAGGGGCUGCAGAAUAAAGAACUAGAGCAGGCAGCCAAGGCAGUGGAGAGCCUGCAGUUCGAGGCUGAAGAGAAGCAAGGGGAAAUCGUGGAGGCAGAUGAAGGCUGGCAGGGACAGCCCAAUAUUGCAGCAGAGAAAGAAGGAUUUCAGCAAACAAGGCUAUGUGGAGCAGAGAUGGAGGAGGAGGUGGAGUUAGAAGAAGAAAAAGUGGUUGGGAGGGACCAUCAGUGGGAUGUCAAAGAUGCAGGAGGAACCACAGUCUGUCGGGAGAAAGGGCCAGAGGAAGCCACGUGGGACGGAGGGGUUCAGGGUGGCUCACAGCUUCUUGAGGAAGAGCAGAGAAGGCUAGAGGGGGCAGCAUGGAAUGGAGGACUUCAGCAUGGAGUGAUGGAGGGCUGGGACAGAAUGGUGGAGAGCAAGCAGUUGGAGCUGGAGGAAGCAGAGAAAGAAGAAGCCGAGGCUGAAAAGAUCUACCAGGAGGAGCCAGAUGUGAUUGUAGAGAAAGAAGGACUUCAGCAAGCAGGGUGGAGUGAGGCAGAGACUGAGGUGGGGUGGCAGGAGGACAUGGAAGGGGAACAUGAGAUUGCAAAAUGCCAUCAGUGGGAGCUUGAAGGAAAAGCAGAAGAGCCAGAAGGGAGCGAAGUGGGGCAGGAGCAGGAGGGAUUGUCAUCAAAUAUGGAGGUUCAGCAAGAGGCGCCGUACCAGUGGCAGUUUCUAGAGGAACAGCAGAGCAGGCUAGAGGGGGCAACAAGGUCUGAAGGAUUUCAGAGUGGAGAGCUGGAGGAGCCAACCAAGAUAACAGAGAACCCACAGUUGGAGGCUGAAAAGAGAGAGGAACAAGAAGCUGAGGCAGAAGACAAAGAAGGGGUGGCAGUGAAGGAGACAGUCCAGCAAGUGAUGUUUUCUGGGGCAAAGGCUGAAAGAGAACAAAAUGAGGUGGUAGAAGGAGAGGAAGUUGGAAGGAACCACCAGCAAGAGGUAGAGGAAAUGGAGUCAUUGGAAGAUCAGGACAGGAAGCCAAAAGAAGUAGCAGACCUCAGAGAAGAUGACCAGGGAGAAUUGGAAGGGGCAGAAAAACUAGAAGGACACCAAGGGGAGGAAAUAGAGGAAUCUGAGAGAAAUAGGGUAGACAUUAAAGGAGAAGAAGAGGAGAAGCAAACAGGAGAUGCCAUUCUGGAGACUGAACAAAGGGAAGAGUUGGAUAGGCUGGCAGAAGCUCAUGGCCUUGAUGAAGAAGCGCUGGGUGAAAUUACAAGAGACCCAGAAAAGGCUGAGAGGAGUCCACAACCUGAACCUGUGACAUACAGCCCUUCCCUUGAAAAAGACCACCUGGCAGAGACUAGAGUUUUCCCAACCAAGGUAAGCAUAACAAAGAAGGAAAGCAGGGCAACAUGGUGGGAGUCAAGAUGCUGCCCUCAUCCAACCCACUUCUGUUUUGUAGGUCGCACCCCUGGAUACAAGUGCUCAGAAGGAACGGGUGCUGCUGCGUCGUAAGAGCUCCAUCCGACGGGCACCUAGCAUGAAAAAAGUGAGAUCGCCCACUGAGAGCUCACCUCAGGAGAUGCAAAGCGUUGAGGACACUCCACCUCCACCUCCAGCACAAGCAACAAGCAGGCCAAUCCUGAGGCAUUCUGGGUAAAUAUGAAUGUUCUGUCCAACUGCCUGCUAGGAACUGAGGGGGAAACAGGUAGAAAUUGGGAUCCAUGACCUGCUUUUUGUCUCACUCUGCACAUUCUUUCUGCCACUUCAGGUUUGGACCUAUGCACCCCAACAUGAUGGCAGAACUGCAGAUACGCCUGCGCAAACCCCAGUAACCACAAAUUCAGAGGUGUUUCUGGGGUAAAGAACAUGCAAACUCUCUCUAUCUUGAGUCAGACUGCCUUGACAAAGAUUGUGGGAGCCAAGAGAAGCACAUAAAAUUUUCCACAGAUGGGAUGGAAGAGAUUCUAGUACAAAGUGUACUACCAUGACAUUGAUAUCAAAGGUGAUUUUGACAGGAGAGUUCUGUAGCAAUGCUAAGGCAUUGCUUUUCUAUAUACAUCUGGAAGUGUAAUUAAAACAUUCAUUCCAGAGCUUAAUAUCACUCUCUUACCUGUGAAAAUCCAGUAAUGUUUGCCUCAUGGGCAAGUUUCUGCUGUAUGUUUUCUCAAAAAGAAUUCUUAUUCGGCAAAGGUCUUCCUCUAUUCCUUUUAUUAUUUGAGCCUUUCUUGUCUUUCUCUUUUAAUAUAUCUGAUAAGUUGCUUUUUGUGGCAUUCUUGAUUUGUCCCUUAGUUACAUCAAUUACCUUUCUUUAUGCUGGGACCCCACAACGCUUUAAUUACUGCUUUCCUCCUUUUAGCUACAUCUAAAAAACAAUUGUACAUUUAUUUUAAUUAUCACACUUGCAAAUUUCUGGUCAGUUUUUUAAGUUCGAAUCCACACGACGGAAUGAGCGCCCGUCGCUUGUCCCAGCUCCCGCCAACCUAGCGGUUCAAAAGCAUGCAAAUGCAAGUAGAUAAAUAGGGACCACCUCGGUGGGAAGGUAACAGCGUUCCGUGUCUAAGUCACCACAAUUGCAAAUUUUUGGUCAGUUUUUUAAAAGGCAAUGAGCAGUUACACUAUCUGCAAAGCAAUUUUAAGAGACCGAAGGCUCCCGCAAGAAGGUUAGAAUGCAGGAAUCCAGAAAUGAAGUAAGUGAAGAGGAAGGCAUGGUUUACUUUACAAGAAAGGAAGCUACUAAUUAAAGGGAUGAGAGCCCUGAAAAAUCUUAGUAAUGCUUUGGAUAUGCUGGUAUUCCAGUUGUGUUUUAAGGCAACCUCUCCACCCCCAAAGAAACAACCUGCAAAUCGGUUCUAUGGCUGAUGGAGGGUUCUUUAUACUUGCAAGUUAACAGGUAUAGUGAAAGUAUUGUGUCUUUUUCUUAAUCGGCCUGCAUGAGUGAGAAAAAAGAUAGCAAAAGUGUUGAAGAAACAAAGAGGGAAAAUCACACGCAUAAUGAACACUUGCAGGGUGUCUGAGACAGUUUGGUCUCUUUGCUUGUUUGAACACAUUGUUUCCAGCAUGCCUCUCUCAACUAGGAAAUCCUGAAAUUUCCACGGUAACUUGCUAAAUAAUGUCCAAACCAAAGGAGCUUUUUCCCCCCUUGGAUUUCCAAGCACAGAUCUUUUCCUCAUUUCCCUCUGCCCCAUUUUUCAUUUCAUUCAUCCCCUGGCCAAACGGUUCCUAGUGAUAGUAUUUUAUUCUGUUGUAACAUUUGCAAAUCCAAGUUUAUAAGUCGAUUGAGCAAAAAGCACAUGAUAGAGCCUGGUAGUCAUUUUUAAAAUUAUUGUUAUUAAUUACAGUUCCUUAGCUACAAUGGCCAGUGUUAACUUUUCCAAGCUCAUGUGCUCAUUAAUAACAGCAAGAUAUGGACUGUAUUUCCUAAGCAGAAUGUAUGACCUAGAGAGGGCAAUUUAAGCCUUCCUGCCCUCAUUUUCAACUUGCCUCCUUUCUUCACAGCUUGGUGAAUUCCUGCUCUUUAACAAAGGGUUCCAUGUGAUAAUCGAACAGAGCAAAAAGUACAUGAUAGAGCUUGGUAGUCAUUUUUAAAAUUAUUAUUAAUUACAGUUCCCCAGCUACAAUGGCCAGUGUUAACUUUUCCAAGCUCAUGUGCUCAUUAAUAACAGCAAGAUAUGGACUGUAUUUCCUAAGCAGAAUGUAUGACCUAGAGAGGGCAAUUUAAGCCUUCCUGCCCUCAUUUUCAACUUGCCUCCUUUCUUCACAGCUUGGUGAAUUCCUGCUCUUUAACAAAGGGUUCCAUGUGAUAAUCAAUAGGUUAAACAUGCUUAUCUACUUAUGUGGAUGUCCCACUUCUUGCCUAAACAUUUAUUUUUUUAAGAGGCAAAUGUUUCAUGCUUACUAUAUAGUCUCUAUUAUAUCACACACACACCCGCCCCAGAUUUUCCACUCCACUGUUUUUGGACUAGGCUUGUGUGACCAGAACUCUCUGCUAAACAAAUGGGAUUGGUAGCAAUGUAUACAGUAUGCAUAUUACAUAUCUGACUUAGUGAUGUCAGUUUCUUAGGUGGCCACCAUAGCAGUGUUCUUAUACUAACCAUGUCACAUCCAGACACCAGUGAGCAGUCAUGUUCAUUUUUAUGGCAUGAAUGCUGCCUCUAUAGGUUUUCUGGCUAGCUAGCAACUUUACUGUGCGACCGCACAAGCCCUUUUGGUGUGGGCUAGUGUGGUCUAAAUAGGAGUGCUUGACUGGAGGGGAGGAGUGAUGUGCCAUUUGGCCCAAUCCACAUAUCCAAAUGCCAUAUUGACCUCAAGUGAGCCUUCGGCAACUUCUGUUGUCAAGCUCUUAUACCAACCAUGUCACAUCCAGACACCAGUGGGCAGUCAUGUUUAUUUUUAUGGCAUGAAUGCUGCCUCUGGAGGUUUUCUGGCCAGCUAGCAACUUUACUGUGCGACUGCACAAGCCCUUUUGGUGUGGGCUGGUGUGGUCUAAAUAGGAGUGCUUGACUUGAGGGGAGGAGUGAUGUGCCAUUUGGCCCAAUCCACAUAUCCAAAUGCCAUAUUGACCUCAAGUGAGCCUUCGGCAACUUCUGUUGUCAAGUGUCAGUUGAACACUGUGCCUUUCAGUUGAACAAAUAAGUACUGUAUGUAUAAAUGAGAUAUUUCAGAUAAGCAAUACUGAUCUUCAUAAAUAAGAAAUAUUCAUAAAUUACAAAUAACUGGCCUUCUUGCUAAAUUCCUUCCAGUCUGUAUCAGAGGUUCUUUAGUUAACAUCCAGAUGUCUUGUAGGUGGUGGCAAAGCAGAAUAACUUUAUGGUGUGACAUCCUAACUGGGGAAUGAUCUCCUUAGGGGCACUGGGUCAGUGCCCACUUUGUGAUAACAUUUUAUUUCUGUUAUGUCAAUUUUCUUGUUGACAUUUGCUACUUUUAGUUUGGCUUUCAGAUACUCUUGCCAUGCAGCCUGUGAUGUUAAAUUUAUUGCGAGUUUAAAAAUUGUUAUUUUAAUAUAAUCUGUUCUUGCUUUUUCUUGAAAGCUUCAGCUGAAAAUCAGCAUUGAAAUAUUCUCAAUAAAUGGAUAAAAUAAAAGCA
Long non-coding RNA from Pogona vitticeps (central bearded dragon), 6567 nucleotides. Ensembl annotates it as trichohyalin-like. NCBI's taxonomy places the organism in Eukaryota, Metazoa, Chordata, Lepidosauria, Squamata, Agamidae. The record is from Ensembl.